Molecule: long non-coding RNA, 693 nt
Organism: Mus pahari (shrew mouse)
Lineage: Eukaryota; Metazoa; Chordata; Mammalia; Rodentia; Muridae
Exons: 3
Source: RefSeq, a predicted model, not a curated record
CGCCCCUCCGGGCCGCGCGCACGUGAGGGCGCCGCUCUGCCUGUCUAAUUUUAGCUCUGAGGUGUCAGGGUCGUGUGAGGUCACAGCACCGCAACCAACUCCAGGCCACUUCCUCCCAGGCAUCCAGUCAAGUCACAACCUGCAGCCUGCUCUUAAGGUGUAGACGUGAACAAGUGGCUCCCAGUCCAUCUCUGCAUUCAUAAACUGAAGAUGAUGACAUGAUCCCAAGGGAGCACAAAGCCUGGGGACCAGCCAGAAAGAAUGGGUUGCUGUCUUCCACACUCCACCCUACAGUUUCCUCCUCCUUGGAAUUUCAUCGCCAGGCCUUCGCUCAAGCUGCUUCCUCUUUCUAAAUGUCAUCUUGCUGUUUUCAUGGAUGUGAGCUCUCCCUCUCUGCUCAAAACAUCACAGGAUUCCAACUCUCCUCAGCAACCUUUGCCCUUCUGAAUUCCUGACAUUCUCCUCGGCCACAUGGCCCUGUGUCGUAAUUCCAGGGUUAUAAAUUAGAGUGUCACACAUCAGCACAGAAACUGCAAAUCUGUGCACAGAGCUCUGUGGCACAGCUACCGGGGCAGCUUCCCAGCUGGCCCUUGUGCCUCUGUGUGGAUGCAGCUGUGCCCCAGUGCUUAGCACUUGGGCCCCCACCCACCUUGUUGGUGAAUUCACCACGUCUAGCUCUCUGUCUGCAGGAGC